RNAcentral lists this ribosomal RNA (537 nucleotides) under Probergrothius angolensis. RNAcentral's name for it is "SSU rRNA". It matches the Rfam family "Eukaryotic small subunit ribosomal RNA", at positions 494 to 957 of the family's 1831-position model. Lineage: Eukaryota; Metazoa; Arthropoda; Insecta; Hemiptera; Pyrrhocoridae. The record is from RNAcentral.
UCAUCCGAGGCCCCGUAAUCGGAAUGAGAACAUCCUAAAUCCUUUAACGAGGAUCUAUUGGAGGGCAAGUCUGGUGCCAGCAGCCGCGGUAAUUCCAGCUCCAAUAGCGUAUAUUAAAGUUGUUGCGGUUAAAAAGCUCGUAGUUGGUUCUGCGUGCCACGCUGUCGGUUCACCGCCUGUCGGUGCAACUGGCAUGUCGUGGCAUGUCCUGCCGGUGGCGGAUAGGCUUCGCGGCGCUCCCUACACGAYACGUCAUGUAGGUCGUCGCGUUGUCCUUGUACGCCGACUCAAUCCUACCGCGGUGCUCUUUACCGAGUGUCGAGGUAGGCCGGCACAUUUUACUUUGAACAAAUUAGAGUGCUUAAAGCAGGCUCUUAAAUCAGCCUGAAUAGUGGUGCAUGGAAUAAUGGAACAGGACCUUGGUUCUAUUUUGUUGGUUUUAGGAAUCCAAGGUAAUGAUCAAUAAGGACAGGCGGGGGCAUUCGUAUUGCGACGUUAGAGGUGAAAUUCUUGGAUCGUCGCAAGACGCACGAGAGC